This 253-nucleotide ribosomal RNA is filed under the name uncultured bacterium. RNAcentral describes it as "partial 16S ribosomal RNA". It matches the Rfam family "Bacterial small subunit ribosomal RNA", at positions 524 to 776 of the family's 1533-position model. The record is from RNAcentral.
UACGUAGGUGGCGAGCGUUGUCCGGAUUUACUGGGCGUAAAGAGCGCGCAGGCGGUCGUAUAAGUCGCGUGUGAAAGCCCCCGGCUCAACUGGGGAGGGUCACGCGAUACUGUUCGACUCGAAGGCAGGAGAGGGAAGUGGAAUUCCCGGUGUAGUGGUGAAAUGCGUAGAUAUCGGGAGGAACACCAGUGGCGAAGGCGACUUCCUGGUCCAGCACCGACGUUCAGGCACGAAAGCGUGGGGAGCAAACAGG